RNAcentral lists this long non-coding RNA (542 nucleotides) under Hordeum vulgare. Its description in RNAcentral is "long non-coding RNA (HVUL_LNC014921)". The record is from RNAcentral. Lineage: Eukaryota; Viridiplantae; Streptophyta; Magnoliopsida; Poales; Poaceae.
UUUCUUUAUUUUCUCAUUGUUUUUUAUACAACAGUUUUCUUUUUCUUCUUCUUGGUUUUAUUUAUUUUAUUUGUUUGCUACUCCCCGUUCUUAAAUAUAGUGUGUAUAGUUUUUGGCACGGAAAUUAAAGAAUGCUCGUGGCGGGAAAAUUUUACAAGUUUUGGAUGACAUUAAACCUAACUAAUUGACAUCAGAAAAUAGAGGAGUUUGCCUAUAUAAGGGCAUGUAAUCAAAUCCCUAAAAUAAAUAUCCAAACGAGUGGUGCAAUGCAAUACACCUUAUAUUUCAGAUUUUUUUUCUCAAAAAAUUAUACACCUUAUUGUAUCCACGACCGGAGGGAGUAUAUUUUUAUUUAUUUGUAAGCUUUUACCGAUUAUAUAUUUUCAAGAAAUCUCUACUUUUUCCUCGUACAAAAUGUACAUUUCUAGGGCACACGUCAAACAUCUUUAUGAUACAUGUUGGACAUUUCUCAAGUAUAUGAUGUACAUUUUUUUAAAUACAUGUUUUGAACACUUUUUUGAAUUAAUGGUGAUAUAUUUUCC